RNAcentral lists this ribosomal RNA (253 nucleotides) under uncultured bacterium. RNAcentral describes it as "partial 16S ribosomal RNA". It matches the Rfam family "Bacterial small subunit ribosomal RNA", at positions 524 to 776 of the family's 1533-position model. The record is from RNAcentral.
UACGGAGGGUGCAAGCGUUAUCCGGAUUCACUGGGUUUAAAGGGUGCGUAGGCGGCGGUGUAAGUCGGAUGUGAAAUCCCGAGGCUCAACCUCGGAACUGCAUUCGAUACUGCAUCGCUAGAGUACUGGAGAGGAGAUUGGAAUUUACGGUGUAGCAGUGAAAUGCGUAGAUAUCGUAAGGAAGACCAGUGGCGAAGGCGAAUCUCUGGACAGUUACUGACGCUGAGGCACGAAGGCUAGGGGAGCAAACGGG